This 532-nucleotide unclassified non-coding RNA is filed under the name Hevea brasiliensis (rubber tree). The record is from RNAcentral. Lineage: Eukaryota; Viridiplantae; Streptophyta; Magnoliopsida; Malpighiales; Euphorbiaceae.
UGGGGAUUUUCGAGCCUUUUAGAGCAAUUGGAUACAUUACAACCAAUGUUCCUUUCUCUGUACAGAGACUUGGUACUGAAACCUUCGUCACCGUCAGUGUCGGCAAAGCUUUUCAAGUUUACAACUGCGCUAAACUCAGUUUGGUUCUCGUUGGCCCACAAUUGCCAAAGAAGAUUCGAGCUCUUGCUUCUUAUCGUGAAUAUACUUUUGCUGCCUAUGGGAGUGACAUUGCAGUUGUCAAGCGUGCUCAUCAGGUGGCAACAUGGAGUGGACAUAGUGCUAAGGUGAACCAAUUGCUUAUUUUUGGUGAACACGUCCUAAGUGUUGAUGUUGAAGGCAAUAUCUUCAUAUGGCAAUUUAAAGGUAUAGACAAAAAUCUUGCUCCGAUCGGACACAUAAAGUUAGAGGACGAAUUCUCCCCUAGCUGCAUAAUGCAUCCAGAUACUUAUUUAAAUAAGGUAUGAAUUUUCUAUUUUUCACUUUUGAGUAACACAAUAACUGAAGCAUGGGGUUUGUGACAAUGGUUAAUACA